UACAGAGGGUGCGAGCGUUGUCCGGAACCACUGGGCGUAAAGGGCGCGUAGGCGGCUUGAUAAGCGUGCGGUGAAAGCCCGGGGCUCAACCCCGGGUCGGCCGUGCGAACUGUCGAGCUGGAGCACUGUAGAGGCAGGUGGAAUUCCGGGUGUAGCGGUGGAAUGCGUAGAGAUCCGGAAGAACACCGGUGGCGAAGGCGGCCUGCUGGGCAGUGGCUGACGCUGAGGCGCGACAGCGUGGGGAGCAAACAGG
This 253-nucleotide ribosomal RNA is filed under the name uncultured bacterium. Its description in RNAcentral is "partial 16S ribosomal RNA". It matches the Rfam family "Bacterial small subunit ribosomal RNA", at positions 524 to 776 of the family's 1533-position model. The record is from RNAcentral.